CAGUCGCCGCGGGAAUACGAAGGGGGCUAGCGUUGUUCGGAUUUACUGGGCGUAAAGCGCACGUAGGCGGAUCGAUCAGUCAGGGGUGAAAGCCCGGGGCUCAACCCCGGAAUAGCCUUUGAGACUGGAUUGCUAGAAUCUGGGAGAGGUGAGUGGAAUUCCGAGUGUAGAGGUGAAAUUCGUAGAUAUUCGGAAGAACACCAGUGGCGAAGGUGGCUCACUGGACCAGUAUUGACGCUGAGGUGCGAAAGCGUGGGGAGCAAACAGGAUUAGAUACCCCCGUAGUCCCUGUCUCUUAUAC
RNAcentral lists this ribosomal RNA (301 nucleotides) under uncultured bacterium. RNAcentral describes it as "partial 16S ribosomal RNA". It matches the Rfam family "Bacterial small subunit ribosomal RNA", at positions 509 to 807 of the family's 1533-position model. The record is from RNAcentral.